AUGGACCCAGAUGGUGGAGUAGGAGGAGGCAGCAAUGCAGAGGGAGGAGGCGGGGCGGGCCCCUUCGCCCUACACCCAGGGGAGGGCAGGAGAACCGGGCAGGAGCCGGGCCAGCGCGGGUGGCCGGAAGACUCCAGGGGUUCCCAGGCCACGCCCCGCUGGGUUGGGGAAGGCGAGGGGCCCAACAGCACCCCGCCGGCGAAGGGCCUGACCCCGUCCUCCGAAGGCCAAGAGGGCCGAGGCUCCACCACCAAGAUGAGGCGGGAGCAGCUCCGCCCAGCGGAGCCCCUGGGACCAGAGAGCUCCUGGCGGCGGCCUCGCUGCCAGUCCCGGCCCGGCCCCAGUCACCCUCGCUGCCCGCCCGGCCCCAGCCACCCUCGCUGCCCGCCCGGCCCCGGCCACCCUCGCUGCCCGCCCGGCCCGGGCCCCUGGCAGCCAGGCCCUAGAGCCCCGCGCGCUCCGCCUCGGCUGUCGUGUGCCCCGGUGACCACCAGAUGCCGACAGAGGUCCUGGCAGGACACCGCGCCUCCCCCAGGGCCCUGGGUCCAGUUUGUCCUCUUGGGACGCGGCAAAUCGGCGACCAGGACCAAUACCUUGCCCUCGCCUCCCCCACUCGCCUUUGAUGAGCGGAGGCUGAAAACCACCCGCUCGCACCUGGGCCCUGCUGCCUUUCCAACCGUCUCCCCGCCCGCACCACGCAGCCUCGGUGAACCUUUGCAGGCAGCCCUGCGUGGCGCAGGAGCUGUGCGUGGGCUGGCUCUGGCUGUCCCCGCGGUCCCCAUGCCUACCUCCCGUCUCCCCGUGCGUUUGGGGGCUGGGGGUCCAGGUUCUCUGACACCAGCGACUCGGAGUUCUGUAGAUUCGGCUAAGGGAGGUCGUGGGUCACAUCAGAGCGGCUGUGUGACUUAGAGCUCGUUGCUUAACCUCUCUGUGCCUAGAUAGCCUCAGAUGUGAAGUAAGGGUUGCAAUACUCCUUACUUCAUGGAGGUAUUGUGAGAACAAAACGAACCAUUGUUUCUGGAACACUCUUGAGAGUGCCAGCCGCAUAUUAAGUUCCCAGUGUAUGUCAGCCCUCCUAAUCUGUCUCCUGGACACUCAUAGUGAGGCCCGAAUAACUGUCUAUUUGUCUUGACUUUUCCAUCUGGAGCACCUUGUUUUCAAUUAUCAGUUCUGCCCCUGGCUUCAUCAAUUGCUUCUGGUAGUUGCUGACUAUGUUUUUAAAAUUAUUUUAAUUCCCAAAAAUUUUGUACCUCUAUUGUGUAAAAUGUUUUUAAAUAGGCAUACACUGAAGAAUGGCUAAUUGAGCUAAUUAAACUAUGUGUUAUCUCAUACUUAUCUUUUUAUACUUAUCAUAAGAGAGGAUACUAAACAUUUACUCUUCAUAAUAUUCUAGGAAUAUGACACAUUAUUAACGUGUCAAAUGUUGUAAAAUAGAUCUCUGGAACUUGUUCCAUCUAUCUAACUGACAUUCUGUAUCUUUUGACCAACGUCUGCCAACUACCCCCAUCGCACCCCCGCUCCCCGUAAUCACUAUUCUACUCUCUGCUUAUCUAAGUUCACCUUUUUAAGAUUCUACAUAUAGGUGAGAUUACGCAGUAUUUAUCUUUCUGUGCAGUGUUUACCUUUCUGUGCCUGGCUUAUUUCACUUAGCAUAAUGUCCUCCAGGUCCAUCUAUGUUGUCACAAAUGUCAGGAUUUCCUUCCUUUUAAAGACUGAGUAGUAUUCCAUUGUGUGUGUUUAUGGCACUUUUUUAAACUAUUCAUUCAGUGAUGGAUACUUCCAUUGUGUCCCUAUCUUGGCUGUUGAGACUAAUGCUGCAGUGAACAUGGGAUUGCAGAUAUUUUUCCAACACACUGCCUGUAUUUACUUUGGAAAUAAGUCCAGAAGUGGACUGCUGGAUCCUGUGGUAGCUCCGUGUUUCGUUUUUGGAGGAACCUCGAUGCCAUUUCCCAUCAUGGCUGUACCAAAUUGCAUUUGCAUCAACCAUGUACAAGGUUUCUCUUUUUUCCACACCAUUGCUAACACUUGGUGUCUUUUGGCUUUUUAUAACAGCUAUUCUAACAAGUACAAGGCGAUAUCUUAUUGUGGUUUUAAUAGGCAUUUCCCAGGUGAUUGGUGAUGAUGGGAACCUUUUCAUAUACCUGUUGGCUAUUUGCAUUUCUUCUUUGGGAAAGCAUCCAUUGAGGUUGUAUGCUUAUUUUUAAAUUGGGUUGUUUGUUUUCUUGCUAUUGUGCUCUUUGAGUUCCUUUUAUAAUUUUAUAUUAAUCCCUUAUCAUAUGUAUGACUUGCAAAUAUUUUCUCUCACUCUGUAGGUCAUCCCUUCACCCUGUUGAUUGUUUGGCUGCACAGAAGCUUUCUUAGUUUGAUAUAGUCCCAUUUAUCUGGUUUUCCUUUUACUAAACAUUGCCCUGAGCAACGUAAAGAAGAUUUUCCCCUAUGGUUUCUUCUUGCGGUUUUACAAUCUCAGGUCUUACCUUUAAGUCUUUAAGCCAUUUUGGGUUGAUUCUUGUACAUGGUAAGAAAAGUGGAGGAGGGGCAUCUGGAUUCAUUCUUGGGCUUGUGGACAUCCAAUUUUCCCAGCAUCAUUUAUUGAAGAAACUGUCCUUUCUUCUGUGUAACACGUGUUCCUGACAUCAUUUUGAUCCUAGUUUUCUACAAACCCUUGAUGUUACUGCUGUCACCCUCUGGACUGAGGCGGGCCUGAAAGUGUAUUACUAGAGUCCCAAUGUUCUCUGAGAACACAUGAGAGAAAGUAGGAAAUUCUUCCUCCACCCACAAGUAACACUGACCGCGUGCUAAAAAUAUUUGACCUUGGGAGCACAGCUUCGGGCCAUGCAGACAAUGCUGCUCUGGGGACACUAGUUGAGCUUCCACCCCACCUAUCCAGUGUUCUACCUACUCAAGUACACCAUUGUGUUUGACGAAGGACUCACACAGUUCCCAUAUUCCCCCCUUCAACGCCCUUUCUACCCUCAAAUUCAGGAAUGUCCUAAAUGCUCCAUAUGCUGACUGUGUUAACCUGUUCACUGUUCUAUUUGAACUACAGCUAGAAGAAGUGAAAAUGAAGGCAGUUCCAUAUGGGCUCAGCUUUCAAUGUGAACAAAUCUUCCUCCAAGGGCCAGCCUGCAAGCCUUUGGCGAGCCUACUAAAGUAGCAGUUAUCAGCUCUGUUGCCUGACAAAAUGGAUGUGUCCAUACUCUCUUGAUAAUAAAUUAGGUGUGACGUUUGAUAAUAGAACCA
RNAcentral lists this long non-coding RNA (3240 nucleotides) under Oryctolagus cuniculus (rabbit). RNAcentral's name for it is "lncRNA (ENSOCUG00000033431.1)". Lineage: Eukaryota; Metazoa; Chordata; Mammalia; Lagomorpha; Leporidae. The record is from RNAcentral.